This 68-nucleotide transfer RNA is filed under the name uncultured Phocaeicola sp. It matches the Rfam family "tRNA", at positions 6 to 65 of the family's 71-position model. Rfam says of the family: Transfer RNA (tRNA) molecules are approximately 80 nucleotides in length. Lineage: Bacteria; Pseudomonadati; Bacteroidota; Bacteroidia; Bacteroidales; Bacteroidaceae. The record is from RNAcentral.
UUUAGCUCAGCUGGUUCAGAGCAUCUGCCUUACAAGCAGAGGGUCGGCGGUUCGAAUCCGUCAACGCC